GUACUUCUUUGAAGUACAUAUACUAAAAUUGGAACGAUACAGAGAAGAUUAGCAUGGCCCCUGCGCAAGGAUGACACGCAAAAUCGUGAAGCGUUCCACAUUUUU
RNAcentral lists this small nuclear RNA (105 nucleotides) under Orchesella cincta. The record is from RNAcentral. Lineage: Eukaryota; Metazoa; Arthropoda; Collembola; Entomobryomorpha; Orchesellidae.